RNAcentral lists this long non-coding RNA (1745 nucleotides) under Apis mellifera (honey bee). Its description in RNAcentral is "uncharacterized LOC102654376". The record is from RNAcentral. Lineage: Eukaryota; Metazoa; Arthropoda; Insecta; Hymenoptera; Apidae.
CUCAUUUUUAAAUAGAUUAACAAUCGUGUAUAUUUUUUUCAACUCGUCAUAAAAAUUCAUACAAUUCUUGAAAUAAAGUGAUAAAGAUCUGAAAUAAAGAGUCUAUUUACGAAUUAAUACCGUGUUCUUAUUAAUCGGAAACAUCUAACAUGAAUAGUUCGCCAUUGCAGUGCAUGAGACGCCCGUGGCGACUGAGACUUGCCUCUCGAGCGCAAACUCGUUAAUUUAUUUAACUUAUUCGCGAGAAAAUGUUGAUUUAUCGUGUAUUAAAAUCGUGUGGAAGAAAUUAUAGAAUAUUAUAGAAGAAAGAAGAAAAGUAAGAGGAAUCAAUUAACGCGUGAUACCAACUAGAACUACGGCACAGAACUUGGUUAACUCGAUUGUAACUGUACAGGCGAUUCAAUGGAUUUCGAUAUGUAAUUCUCAAAGAGCGUGAAUUACACGGAUUCAGGACGCGCUCACCUUUUUACCCCAUUACUGGGAUCACGGGGAUCAUUAGGAGAGGAUAAAAGGUGGAAAAAGUGGUAGAAUGGAUCGUUCGAGCGAGGUUACGAAUUAGAUUCGAAUUUCGAAUUUAUAGAAUUACGAGGAAGAGAAUGAAAGAAAUAAAAUUUCGGAUUAUCAACUAGAACGAAUGUCCAAAAAGGUUAAUCUCUUAAGAUAAUAAGCAACCAGGUAUAUUCAACGUCUGAACCUGUGAAUCGUGAAAGUGUUAAAAAAUUACAAAGAAGCUGGAAGAGGAUGGAAAAGUAGAAGGUGCAACAAAAUGGAGAAUUUCGAAUCAGGAAACGGACAAAAGGAAAGAAAAGAAAAGAAAAAAAAAUAAAGAGAUCGCGAAACGGUUAACGCUAUAUUAAUAGGCAAAUAUACCAGGAUGAAAAAGAUUGUAUGGAGAAAGGAAGGAUGGUCGGGGAACGGGAGGGCAAACAAAGAGAAAUCCCUCGAUAGUUCUCGAUUGAUAGAGUUCUCAAUAGUAUCAAUAAUGAAGGUAUACGAUUCAAUCAAACACUACGGCUUACACUUGGUAUCAGUAUGUAUACACAGAGCGGUGUGUAAUAGGGGUGCUUUAGUUAGCGGGUUGAAUGGUCGUCUCAAAUCCGCUCCUUUCUCCCCAAUGAUCGAAGAUCUAUCGAUCCAACCCCGGCCAUAUAGAAUUUGUCAAAUGUAAAGGUUGGAAUUAAACGGGUGAUUCGAAAUUCAAAUUGAAAAUUUAAUUACAUAUCCGACAUCAAUCGUAACAAUAAUUAAAUCUAGGACCGGCUCGAUUCCCAAUUUUUACUCAUUUCGUUGAUUCACGAGUUGAAUUUAAUUAAAAGCGCCCUAUCAAAAAUUGACGAUUGCCGAAAUUCGUUGCGUUGAAUUUGCUGCGCGCUAUUCUCCAACAUCUUGGAAAAAAUGUAACGCGUGUUUCUGUGAACGAGAGAAAUUUAAAAGAGAGAAAAAUUUUGCGCCAGAAAUUUUAAUUAAUCAGCGUAAUUAUCAAUUAGUUAUUAAUACUAAGAGCGAUGAAUUUUUUUUAAAAAACCAGUUGAUCCAGAGAAUUCUUUUAAGAUUUUCACAGACUGUGAAAAUGUCUUAUCCUUUUCCCUGACAUUUCUCUUCAUUUUCUUUCCUUUUUUUUCCCUCUCCAAGACAAUUUGAAAUAAUUGAAGUUCUAGGCAUCUUUCUACUUUUCAAAUAAAAAAGUUUACUCCGUUGUAGAGAUCUGCAAACGGUGCAAUUUGUUCGUCUUAAAAAAAAAAAAA